CCUACGGGUGGCUGCAGUGAGGAAUAUUGGUCAAUGUGCGAGAGCCUGAACCAGCAAAGUCGCGUGAGGGAGUACUGCCCUAUGGGUUGUAAACCUCUUUUGUCGGGGAGCAAAAGCCGGACGUGUCCGGCUGUGAGAGUACCCGAAGCAAAAGCAUCGGCUAACUCCGUGCCAGCAGCCGCGGUAAUACGUAGGAUGCGAGCGUUAUCCGGAUUUAUUGGGUGUAAUGGGUGCGCAGGCAGAUUUUUAAGUCAGCGGUCGAAUCGUGAGGCUCAACCCCAUCCAGCCGUUGAAACUGGGGAUCUAGAGUGUGCGAGAGGUAUGCGGAAUUCGUGGUGUAGUGGUGAAAUGCAUAGAUAUCACGCAGAACCCCGAUUGCGAAGGCAGCAUACCGGUGCACAACUGACGCGCAGGCACGAAAGCGUGGGUAUCGAACAGGAUUAGAUACCCCUGUAGUC
RNAcentral lists this ribosomal RNA (458 nucleotides) under uncultured bacterium. RNAcentral's name for it is "partial 16S ribosomal RNA". It matches the Rfam family "Bacterial small subunit ribosomal RNA", at positions 338 to 795 of the family's 1533-position model. The record is from RNAcentral.